CGUGAACGCUGGCGGUAGGCCUAACACAUGCAAGUCGAACGGCAGCACAGUAAGAGCUUGCUCUUACGGGUGGCGAGUGGCGGACGGGUGAGGAAUACAUCGGAAUCUACUUUUUCGUGGGGGAUAACGUAGGGAAACUUACGCUAAUACCGCAUACGACCUACGGGUGAAAGCAGGGGAUCUUCGGACCUUGCGCGAUUGAAUGAGCCGAUGUCGGAUUAGCUAGUUGGCGGGGUAAAGGCCCACCAAGGCGACGAUCCGUAGCUGGUCUGAGAGGAUGGUCAGCCACACUGGAACUGAGACACGGUCCAGACUCCUACGGGAGGCAGCAGUGGGGAAUAUUGGACAAUGGGCGCAAGCCUGAUCCAGCCAUACCGCGUGGGUGAAGAAGGCCUUCGGGUUGUAAAGCCCUUUUGUUGGGAAAGAAAAGCAGCAGGUUAAUACCCCGCUGUUCUGACGGUACCCAAAGAAUAAGCACCGGCUAACUUCGUG
This 492-nucleotide ribosomal RNA is filed under the name uncultured bacterium. RNAcentral describes it as "partial 16S ribosomal RNA". It matches the Rfam family "Bacterial small subunit ribosomal RNA", at positions 29 to 507 of the family's 1533-position model. The record is from RNAcentral.